CCUACGGGGGGCAGCAGUGGGGAAUUUUGCGCAAUGGGGGAAACCCUGACGCAGCGACGCCGCGUGGAGGAUGAAGGCCUUCGGGUUGUAAACUCCUUUUGUGGGGGACAAUGGUGAUGGUACCCCAUGAAUAAGCCACGGCUAACUCUGUGCCGGCAGCCGCGGUAAGACAGAGGUGGCAAGCGUUGUUCGGAAUCACUGGGCUUAAAGGGCGUGUAGGCGGCAUUGCAAGUCUGGGGUGGAAUCCGGUGGCUUAACCGCCGAACGGCCCUGGAAACUGCAUUGCUUGAGUCAGUGAGGGGGGGGGGGAAUUCCCGGUGUAGCAGUGAAAUGCGUAGAUAUCGGGAGGAAGGCCGGUGGCGAGGGCGGCCCUCUGGGGCUUGACUGACGCUGAGGCGCUAAAGCGUGGGGAGCAAACGGGAUUAGAUACCCGGGUAGU
RNAcentral lists this ribosomal RNA (439 nucleotides) under uncultured Nitrospirales bacterium. RNAcentral's name for it is "partial 16S ribosomal RNA". It matches the Rfam family "Bacterial small subunit ribosomal RNA", at positions 338 to 794 of the family's 1533-position model. Lineage: Bacteria; Pseudomonadati; Nitrospirota; Nitrospiria; Nitrospirales. The record is from RNAcentral.